AACGAACGCUGGCGGCAUGCCUAACACAUGCAAGUCGAACGAAGGCUUCGGCCUUAGUGGCGCACGGGUGCGUAACGCGUGGGAAUCUGCCCUUUGGUUCGGAAUAACAGCUGGAAACGGCUGCUAAUACCGGAUGAUGACGAAAGUCCAAAGAUUUAUCGCCAGAGGAUGAGCCCGCGUUGGAUUAGGUAGUUGGUGGGGUAAAGGCCUACCAAGCCGACGAUCCAUAGCUGGUCUGAGAGGAUGAUCAGCCACACUGGGACUGAGACACGGCCCAGACUCCUACGGGAGGCAGCAGUGGGGAAUAUUGGACAAUGGGCGCAAGCCUUAUCCAGCAAUGCCGCGUGAGUGAUGAAGGCCCUAGGGUUGUAAAGCUCUUUUACCCGGGAAGAUAAUGACUGUACCGGGAGAAUAAGCCCCGGCUAACUCCGUG
This 433-nucleotide ribosomal RNA is filed under the name uncultured bacterium. RNAcentral's name for it is "partial 16S ribosomal RNA". It matches the Rfam family "Bacterial small subunit ribosomal RNA", at positions 29 to 507 of the family's 1533-position model. The record is from RNAcentral.